RNAcentral lists this ribosomal RNA (692 nucleotides) under Fusarium oxysporum. RNAcentral describes it as "SSU rRNA". It matches the Rfam family "Bacterial small subunit ribosomal RNA", at positions 373 to 948 of the family's 1533-position model. The record is from RNAcentral. Lineage: Eukaryota; Fungi; Ascomycota; Sordariomycetes; Hypocreales; Nectriaceae.
GGCCUAACGGCUGAACUGGCAACUUGGAGAAGUGGCAAGUCUUCCAGUAUGGGGAGCAAAACAGCUAUGGGUCAAGUCCGAUAUCUUUAGGAGAAGUCUUAUUGUGAGGGCGAGUUAUAUAACACCAUAGGACUGGCCGUCCCAUAUGAAAAGAUUAUAUUAGAAUUGAAUGAAGCUUUGUUUAUAUAUUGAUAAUGACAGUAUAUAUAUCGUGUCUUGACUAAUUGCGUGCCAGCAGUCGCGGUAAUACGUAAGAGACUAGUGUUAUUCAUCUUAAUUAGGUUUAAAGGGUACCCAGACGGUCAAUAUAGCUUAUAAAAUGUUAGUACUUGACUAGAGUUUUAUGUAAGAGGGCAGUACUUGAGGAGGAGAGAUGAAAUUUCGUGAUACCAAAGGGACUCUGUAAAGGCGAAGGCAGCCCUCUAUGUAAAAACUGACGUUGAAGGACGAAGGCACAGAGAACAAACAGGAUUAGAUACCCAAGUAGUCUUUGCAGUAAAUGAUGAAUGCCAUAGGUUAGAUUGAUCAAUUAUAGUCUAGGGUUAGUCUAGCAAACUAAUGCCCUAUGAUAUAAUUCAAAAUAUCUGGUCUAUAAAUGAAAGUGUAAGCAUUUCACCUCAAGAGUAAUGUGGCAACGCAGGAACUGAAAUCACUAGACCGUUUCUGACACCAGUAGUGAAGUAUGUUAUUUA